GAGAGCCUGAACCAGCCAAGUAGCGUGCAGGAUGACGGCCUUAUGGGUUGUAAACUGCUUUUAUGCGAGGAUAAAGUUACCCACGUGUGGGUGUUUGCAGGUAUCGCAUGAAUAAGGACCGGCUAAUUCCGUGCCAGCAGCCGCGGUAAUACGGAAGGUUCUGGCGUUAUCCGGAUUUAUUGGGUUUAAAGGGAGCGUAGGCUGUUUUUUAAGCGUGUUGUGAAAUGUACCGGCUCAACCGGUGAUGUGCAGCGCGAACUGGAAGACUUGAGUGUGUUGUAAGUAGGCGGAAUUCGUGGUGUAGCGGUGAAAUGCUUAGAUAUCACGAGGAACUCCGAUUGCGUAGGCAGCUUACUGUCUCACUACUGACGCUGAUGCUCGAAAGCGCGGGUAUCGAACAGGAUUAGAUACCCUGGUAGUCCGCGCGGUAAACGAUGGAUGCUCGUUGUUGGUAUAUAUAUAUCAGUGACUUAGCGAAAGCGUUAAGCAUCCCACCUGGGGGAGUACGCCGGCAACGGUGAAACUCAAAGGAAUUGACGGGGGCCCGCACAAGCGGAGGAACAUGUGGUUUAAUUCGAUGAUACGCGAGGAACCU
This 595-nucleotide ribosomal RNA is filed under the name Hoylesella marshii. RNAcentral describes it as "bacterial SSU rRNA". It matches the Rfam family "Bacterial small subunit ribosomal RNA", at positions 377 to 971 of the family's 1533-position model. Lineage: Bacteria; Pseudomonadati; Bacteroidota; Bacteroidia; Bacteroidales; Prevotellaceae. The record is from RNAcentral.